UACGGGGGGGGCAAGCGUUGUUCGGAAUUACUGGGCGUAAAGCGCGUGUAGGCGGCCAUACAGGUCCGUUGUGAAAACUCGAGGCUUAACCUCGAGACGUCGAUGGAAACCGUAUGGCUAGAGUCCGGAAGAGGAGAGUGGAAUUCCUGGUGUAGCGGUGAAAUGCGCAGAUAUCAGGAAGAACACCCGUGGCGAAGGCGGCUCUCUGGGACGGUACUGACGCUGAGACGCGAAAGCGUGGGGAGCGAACAGG
This 253-nucleotide ribosomal RNA is filed under the name uncultured bacterium. RNAcentral's name for it is "partial 16S ribosomal RNA". It matches the Rfam family "Bacterial small subunit ribosomal RNA", at positions 524 to 776 of the family's 1533-position model. The record is from RNAcentral.